This is an RNA transcript of Brienomyrus brachyistius, 6001 nucleotides long. It is a transcript of the gene named ras association domain-containing protein 8-like, with no coding region annotated. The transcript has 6 exons. Lineage: Eukaryota; Metazoa; Chordata; Actinopteri; Osteoglossiformes; Mormyridae. The record is from RefSeq and is a predicted model, not a curated record.
CAGUCAAACUGAGCUGCAUAUACAUUGAAUUAAGGUGUUUCUGCUUAGUGUGCUGCAUUUGGGAUUUACACUGUCAGGAGUUCACUGUUUGGGGCUGAACACACCUUGCAUCGUGCGCUUUCAUUAUGUCAGACCCUCAGGGUGACAUAAUGAAGAGAUUUUUUAUGUAUACUGUUUUUGUUUUGUUAGGGCAAUAGUCCAACAUGACAUGCUUAAAUAAACCAAUUGAAGUUCAAUUUAAGUGAUGAAGGAUGAAUUAACAUGUGACCUCAUUGUAUUGGUAUUCCAUAGAAUCAAUUAUGUGUAAAAGUACACAGAACUACCACUAACUUGCACUGUUUAUAUUCCCUAACGCCUUAUCUACUGGGUUUUUAUUUUUAGCACAAUACUCAAUAUUUCAUUCACAUCUGUGUUGGUCAUGUGGUUAGAGGACAGAUACAUAUAUGAGUGUGUAUGACUUUCAGGUUUACUUAUUCAUUUUAUUUCUACAGUAUGAUGUUUAUUUAUGUGUUUAUGAGAAUCCUUUGCUCUGGUACUGCUCAAACAAAUGUCAUAAACCUGCAGAAUCAUUUGGAAAACAGACCUGUUUUCCAGAUGCACACUUGAAGUCAAAGGUGCCUGGACAUUUAUUAGACAACAUAAUGAUUUGAUUCUUUUAAUAAAAACAUGCUAAAAUGCUUUUAAUGUAAAGCAUCACACCUCUUCCAUGAUUUUCAAGGAGCAUUAAGAGUUAAUAACAAGAAAAACAGCAACAAUAUCAUUGUUAAUAAGAGGAAUUAUGCAACACAAGUAUCACUGGUAAUGAAUCUGUAAAAACCAAGUAGACAUUUCUUUAAAAGUUUCUUUCAUGACUUACAGUACUUAUAAACAGUCAUAGAUAUUGUGAUGUAUUCAACAAUUCGGCCUCAUCUCUUGAUCUGUGGUCUUUCCAUCCAUCCAUCCAUCCAUCCAUUUUCCAAACCGCUUAUCCUAUUGGGUCGCGGGGGGUCCGGAGCCUAUCCCGGAAUCAAUGGGCACGAGGCAGGGAACAACCCAGGAUGGGGGGCCAGCCCAUCGCAGGGCACACUCACACACCAUUCACUCACACAUGCACACCUACGGGCAAUUCAGCGACACCAAUUAGCCUCAGCAUGUUUUUGGACUGUGGGGGGAAACCGGAGUACCCGGAGGAAACCCCACGACGACACGGGGAGAACAUGCAAACUCCGCACACAUGUGACCCAGGCGGAGACUCGAACCCGGGUCCCAGAGGUGUGAGGCGACAGUGCUAACCACUGCACCACCAUGCCGCCCCUGUGGUCUUUCCAUGAAAGGAAAAAGUCUGGUGUGAUGAGUUCUUGCAGUAACUAUUCAGGUAAUAAAUUCACAAAUGUUUUUCCAGCUCAUGACAACCUUCAAAGCAGAUCCUAUCUGCACAGAAUGACUUGAGAAAUCUCCUGUCCUGAUAUCAUGGAAAUCUAACUCCACAGAACAGGUCUCGCAGAACUAACAGCCUGGGCUUUGUCAUGCAGUGCCUCAUUAUCUAAGGGAAAAUUCACUGAGUAGAGCAGAGAUGCUUCCUGAGAUGUUCUUAAGAGGUUUUCCUGCACUUAAUUCUUGUCCUCUCGACUGAUUGUACCAGAAGCUGGGCCGCUCUUUGUGCUGCUGGCAGGGACGAGAAACUACAAAAACCUUUUCCUUUGCAUCUGAUGCAUAGAAACAGGAAGUGUAAUGUAAAUUUCUGUUGUGAUACAACCAUUAUGUUAAAUGGAUGGACUGAACAACCAGGAUCACAUUGUUUGGAAACAUAGCCACAGAGGUAGGGUCCUAUGGCAGUCACCCACUGCUCUCUCUAUAAAAACCUCCAGAACAAACGUCCUUCAGUUGUGUUUACUAGAAACAGUCUAUUUUGCUAAACAUGUUGAUUUGCUAAACAAACACAAGCCCACCGUUUCAAUCUUCACUUUGUUACCAAACAACUAGAUGUUUGAUUUUUGCGUACAUAAAUACAUAAAAUAAUUGCGUACAUAACAAUAAAAUAACUUUUUUAAGCUAAGUCAUUUUAAAUACUUUAAAUAAUACUUUUACAUUGGAAAAAAUGAAAAAGCUUAUAUAAGUUGGUCUUGGAGAAACUACUCUUCUUUUUUAUUUAUGUUCCUGUGAUUGUAGUUUGGUGUCUUGUACUGCAGUAGUGGUUCAGGCAUGUUUUUUUCCUGUGUUUGCGAACAGCUGCAUACCCCUGCACGGAGCGCAUCAGGUGAAACAGAUGUAACCAUUGUGAGUGGAAGACAGACGUCUCACUGCUGGGUGCUAAGAUGACUGUUUUAUAACUGUACGCAGGUCAGCAGCAGGAAGUGCACAAGAGACAUAUGAGUUAUUAAGAUAUUAAUGCAUUUUAUAUGAUCUACUCAGGGAUCUCAAAGUAGAAUGCCAUUUAGCAACCCUAGCACAUGUGGAGGCAGGAUUUCCUAGUUAUAAAAACUAAAUUUAUUUUAUUUUUCUCAGCUAAAAUUCAUAUGUCAUUUACAAUAUAUCCGGUGUUACAGCGCUGGAACUUCUACUGCCCUAUUUGCUAUGGUACAAUUGCAUGUUUUACGUCUGGCCUGAUACUGAUUUUGAAUAAUCAUCACUGAUUACUCAUUACCAGUCAGGAUUCAGGUCCCUACUCUGGUGCUUACAUUGGCCGGUUAGUGUUAUUGUAACCUUAGCUGGCCAGUUAUUGUAAUCAUUGUGUUGGACGGAUUGAAGAAGCUGCACUGUUUCCACAAAGUAGCACUGAAGGAGCCUUUUGUUCCCUGGUGCUGUAUCGCCUUACAUCUGUCACAGUGGUGCUUUUAUUUCUCACUCUGAAAGUUUAGCCCAUUGUGGUGGUGGAUGCAAGCAUCACAGAAUUUUCAUUCGAGAGGUUUGAUUUCAGUCUCACUAGGCAGGAAUUCACUUAGUGAUGUAAUUACUUCAAUAACAGGCUAAACCGAGAAAAGGAUAUCUAUUAUCAGACCCAUAAAAACACAAUAUGUCUUAAAGAUUUUUCUUUUGCUUUCAAUAGUAGAAGUACAGUAGAAGGAAACUGAAGUACUUUACAGAAAUCUGCCUGACAUAGGAGAAAGAUGCACACUCCACAGGAAGUGGGAUAUAAACCCCCAACCCCAGAGGAAUGAGACAACAGUGCUGCCCAUCUGUCCUAUUUUUAACCCAGUUUUGAUUUGGAAAGUGUGUAUCAAAUGUCUUCUGUUCUCUCCCUUAUCUAGAGUAUGGGUAGGGUUAUACUACUGUAUGAAGACCAUUCACACCUCCUAGGCAGACACAGGUGCAGAGUAAGGGCAGGUUACUGCAAUGAGUUUUUACUAGAUAAUCACAAUAUUCCUUAGAAAGAUUAUAUAUAAGAAUUCUGAAAUACAAAGAGAUCAAUUAGUGUGCCUAAGUAAUCAUUCUACAUUAUAAUUCUGAUGAGGACUAUUGUGCAGAUAAGCGCUUUUGUUAAAGUACUAUGUGUCAAAUGUUUCUCAUUUUGUGAGCAAACCCUGAGGUGAUACCGUUUGGGUGGAGCAAGAUUCCAGUUGUGAUUCACAUUUGGCUCAGAAUUUAAAUAUCUAGUGGAUGAGCACGCGGGAAUGUGAGAGUGCAGUUAGGAAAAUGGUUUCUCUGCCACACCUUUCACCCCCCAAUCAGACUGAGCAGGAUUGGUUGCGUCCUCUGCUUCUGACAGCCUUGUUUCACAGGAUGGGCAAGUUGUUCGGGAUGGAUUCUUUUGGUCUAUUACAACUGCCGGAUCUCUACCCAGUGACUCUUUCCUGCAUAUAUCAACAGGAACUCGCCGUCCUCGACAAGGCAGUGUUUGUACAUUCAAAACAAAAUGGAUUUACUUUGCAAAAGAAAUACACUGCUACAGUAGAAAGGGGCUUGGAAGAGAGAGGGUGCUCUUUUUGAAGGUAUUGGUGUCAUGCUGCCGUGAUCGUGGGCGAAGCUGUAGAGUGUCGAUGGAGCUGAAGGUGUGGGUAGAUGGGGUGUUGCGGGUGCUGUGUGGCCUUUCUGAGGAGACCUCCUGUCAGGAUGUAGUCAUCACCCUCGCCAAAGCCAUGGGUCAGACUGGUCGUUAUGUUCUGAUCCAGAGGCUGAGGGACUAUGAAAGGCAGCUUCUGGCCAAUGAGAAACUGCUGGACUCCAUGACAAAGCUAGGUCAGCAAGCCAGUGACAUCCAGUUCUUCUUGCGUCGCAUUGGUCCCAUUAAUCAGGACAGAACAGUUUCGGAUAAAGGAAUUACCAGCCCCAAACUACAUGUGUUAGAACCUCACAAACACAAGGAACCCAGACGGUCUCACACAUUCAACCUGGGUCACUCUAGCUCACUCAAAAAGAAGCCCAAGCAUUUGAAAAGGUCAGCUUUCACACCUCCUCCUUGCUCGUCUGUCACGGUGUCCAAGGAUGAGCUAUUCCAGCAAGUUCUGCAGCAGCAAGCAAGGCUGCAUGACCUGGAGGUCCAUCUGAAUGUAAUGGAGCAGGAGAUGCUUGUCUGGGAACAGAUGACUGCUUCUGACUAUGAACUACCAGAGACAAAGCUAGAGGCAAAACUGGAGCAAAAGCUAUGCACAGAGGAAGAUCAGGAACUUGCCUUGAACCACAAGCUGAGGAAACUGCAUCAAAUGUUGGACAGUUACGAUACCAGCCUGCAGGACCUCACAGCCCACACUGGGCAUCUUGAGAAGGAGAUCGAGCUGGAGAACAUCAGACGUCAGUCCUUCGUAGCACUGUCAAACCUGGAGGAGUCAUUGGGGUCUGUUAAGGUGGAGCUAAAGAGUGAGCAGAAGCAUGGAGAGGAGCUGGAGUCUUCUCUUACAGAGCUUGAAAAAGUACUUGGGAGCACAGAGGCUCUGCUGCAGACUAAGACAGAGGAAAUGGACAAGCUGAACAAGGAGCUGCGACAAUGCAACCUGCAGCAGUUCAUCCAGCAGACGGGAACCCACAUUCACACAGACCUAGAACAUCUGGAGAAAAUUGAAAAGAUGCAUCUCCUCCCUAAAGGAUCCUACAAUGGUUCUGGCUCAUGUCAUGCAGCACUGCCCCCCCAAUCUACAGCCAAGCGGCUUCUGGGUCACCCACGGAACCUGCUUGAUCCUCUUAUUUCUAGCCUCAACCCUGAAGGCGUGUUUGUGUAAAAUCCCUCUGACCCAGCAAGGCGCCCCAGCAGCUGAGCUCUGCUUCCCGAAGCCACUUAGCCAGAUGUCUCCCGAGCCUCUAACAGCGACACCCCGCAUGACUUUGCUUGAAAUUAAUCCAACCACUUUAUCUACUCACCCCAGGACUCUCACUUCCCUCUGCACAUGGGUGACUAUAAGUCUAUCCCAGGCAGCGCAAGGCAGAAGACCCUGGAAUACCCUGAAUGUGACAGCAGUCCCUCACACUUUAUGAGCUGUGUAAACAAUGAGAUGGGUGAUAAAAAAACCUGUAAAAUCUAAUGACACCACCAAAAAGUUGGGAUGUGCAUAAAACUUGUCUACUAGGGGGUGACAAUAUAGUAUGCAUUCAGUACUAAUAGAAUUUUCGUCUAGUAUCAGUUAAUCUUCUGUAAUGAUAUGAUGUUAUGGAAGUCAGCCUUUAGAAAACACAGGGACAGACCAUUUAUUAAGACAAAGUAAAAGGGGCAGGGCAAUAGAUGAGGUAUAUUGUUUUAAUGCGCAAGGAAACAAUCUACGGCUUUGUAAUUAUUCUGGGAAGAAAGCUUGCUCUACUCCCUUGUUUUAAUUAAAUUAAAACUUCUGGCCCACCCAGGAUUCUUGGGCUGCAGAUGACGGUUCAGAGAUAGAUACAAUAUAACCUUUAUGCUAAGAUGUUGGUCCAGCUCCAAGGGUGGAUCCUGGUAACCCUAUUCUGGGUGGGGUAUUCUGGUUUUUAUUGGUACCUUAAGUAAUUUUUGUACAUUUUGCCCCUGUAUGACUGUAAUUAGAGUUGAGUCUGUAUACUUGACCUCAGCUGAGGAUGCAACUUGUCAAAUUUGUGAUUUUCAUGAAUAAAAUAUCAAAUCACA